This 443-nucleotide ribosomal RNA is filed under the name uncultured bacterium. RNAcentral describes it as "partial 16S ribosomal RNA". It matches the Rfam family "Bacterial small subunit ribosomal RNA", at positions 338 to 795 of the family's 1533-position model. The record is from RNAcentral.
CCUACGGGUGGCAGCAGUGGGGAAUAUUGGGCAAUGGGCGCAAGCCUGACCCAGCAACGCCGCGUGAAGGAAGAAGGCUUUCGGGUUGUAAACUUCUUUUCUCAGGGACGAAGCAAGUGACGGUACCUCAUGAAUACGUAACGGUUAACCACGUGCCAGCACCCGCGGUAAUACGUAGUCGGCAAGCAUUAGCCGGAUUUACUGGGUGUAAAGGGGGCGCAGACUGAAAUGAAAGCCAGGAGUGAAAGCCCGGGGCGCAACGCCGGAACUGCCCUUGAAACUGCAUAGCUAGAGUACAGGAGAGGCAGGCAGAAUUCCAAGUGUAGCGGUGAAAUGCGUAGAUAUUAGGAGGAACACCGGUGGCGAAGGCGGCCUGCUGGACUGUGACUGACGUUGAGGCCCGAAGGCGUGGGGAGCAAACAGGAUUAGAUACCCGAGUAGUC